UGGGGAAUUUUGGACAAUGGGGGAAACCCUGAUCCAGCCAUCCCGCGUGUGCGAUGAAGGCCUUCGGGUUGUAAAGCACUUUUGGCAGGAAAGAAACGUCAUGGGUUAAUACCCCGUGAAACUGACGGUACCUGCAGAAUAAGCACCGGCUAACUACGUGCCAGCAGCCGCGGUAAUACGUAGGGUGCAAGCGUUAAUCGGAAUUACUGGGCGUAAAGCGUGCGCAGGCGGUGCGGAAAGAAAGAUGUGAAAUCCCAGAGCUCAACUUUGGAACUGCAUUUUUAACUACCGGGCUAGAGUGUGUCAGAGGGAGGUGGAAUUCCGCGUGUAGCAGUGAAAUGCGUAGAUAUGCGGAGGAACACCGAUGGCGAAGGCAGCCUCCUGGGAUAACACUGACGCUCAUGCACGAAAGCGUGGGGAGCAAACAGG
Molecule: ribosomal RNA, 429 nt
Filed under: Acidobacteriota bacterium
Lineage: Bacteria; Pseudomonadati; Acidobacteriota
Description: Acidobacteria bacterium partial 16S ribosomal RNA
Rfam family: Bacterial small subunit ribosomal RNA
Source: RNAcentral